GAUCAACGCUGGCGGCGUGCCUAACACAUGCAAGUCGAACGAGAAAGUCCGCUUCGGCGGAUGAGUAAAGUGGCGCACGGGUGAGUAACACGUGACUAACCUACCUUUUAGUGGGGGAUAACCUAGGGAAACCUGGGCUAAUACCGCAUAAUACCUACGGGUCAAAGUUCGCCUCGGCGGACGCUGAAAGAGGGGGUCGCGGCCGAUUGGCUAGUUGGCGGGGUAAGGCCCACCAAGGCGAUGAUCGGUAUCCGGCCUGAGAGGGCGCACGGACACACUGGAACUGAAACACGGUCCAGACUCCUACGGGAGGCAGCAGUGGGGAAUUUUGCGCAAUGGGGGAAACCCUGACGCAGCAACGCCGCGUGGAGGAUGAAGACCCUUGGGUCGUAAACUCCUUUUCGAUCGGGACGAUAAUGACGGUACCGGAAGAAGAAGCCCCGGCUAACUUCGUGCCAGCAG
RNAcentral lists this ribosomal RNA (462 nucleotides) under uncultured bacterium. RNAcentral describes it as "bacterial SSU rRNA". It matches the Rfam family "Bacterial small subunit ribosomal RNA", at positions 28 to 514 of the family's 1533-position model. The record is from RNAcentral.